UUUCUUUAUAUGGAUUACAUGUUUGAGUUAAUCUUCUGAGCAUUUCUUCUAUAUUCACAAUUGGUUUAUUCAAAGGCUUAUUAAUUAUAUUUUGUUAGAAACA
Ipomoea nil (Japanese morning glory) is the source of this 103-nucleotide long non-coding RNA. RefSeq lists it as uncharacterized. The record is from RefSeq and is a predicted model, not a curated record. The transcript has 3 exons. Lineage: Eukaryota; Viridiplantae; Streptophyta; Magnoliopsida; Solanales; Convolvulaceae.